UAGGGAAUCUUCCACAAUGGACGCAAGUCUGAUGGAGCAACGCCGCGUGAGUGAAGAAGGUUUUCGGACCGUAAAGCUCUGUUGUUGGUGAAGAAGGAUAGAGGUAGUAACUGGCCUUUAUUUGACGGUAAUCAGCCAGAAAGUCACGGCUAACUACGUGCCAGCAGCCGCGGUAAAUCGUAGGUGGCAAGCGUUGUCCGGAUUUAUUGGGCGUAAAGCGAGCGCAGGCGGAAGAAUAAGUCUGAUGUGAAAGCCCUCGGCUUAACCGAGGAAUUGCAUCGGAAACUGUUUUCUGAGUGCAGAAGAGGAGAGUAGAACUCCAUGUGUAGCGGUGGAAUGCGUAGAUAUAUGGAAGAAUACCAGUGGCGAAGGCGGCUCUCUGGUCUGCAACUGACGCUGAGGCUCGAAAGCAUGGGUAGCGAACAGGAUUAGAUACCCUGGUAGUCCAUGCCGUAAACGAUGAGUGCUAAGUGUUGGGAGGCUUCCGCCUCUCAGUGCUGCAGCUAACGCAUUAAGCACUCCGCCUGGGGGAGUACGACCGCAAGGUUGAAAC
Molecule: ribosomal RNA, 553 nt
Filed under: uncultured bacterium
Lineage: Bacteria
Description: partial 16S ribosomal RNA
Rfam family: Bacterial small subunit ribosomal RNA
Source: RNAcentral